This 406-nucleotide ribosomal RNA is filed under the name uncultured bacterium. RNAcentral's name for it is "partial 16S ribosomal RNA". It matches the Rfam family "Bacterial small subunit ribosomal RNA", at positions 30 to 526 of the family's 1533-position model. The record is from RNAcentral.
AUUGAACGCUGGCGGCAGGCCUAACACAUGCAAGUCGCACGAGUGGCGGACGGGUGAGUAAUGUCUGGGAAACUGCCUGAUGGAGGGGGAUAACUACUGGAAACGGUAGCUAAUACCGCAUACCAUCGGAUUUGCCCAGAUGGGAUUAGCUAGUAGGUGGGGUACAGGCUCACCUAGGCGACGAUCCCUAGCUGGUCUGAGAGGAUGACCAGCCACACUGGAACUUAGACACGGUCCAGACUCCUACGGGAGGCAGCAGGGGGGAAUAUGGGCCAAUGGGCGCAAGCCUGAGGCAGCCAUGCCGCGUGUAUGAAGAAGGCCUUCGGGUUGUAAAGUACUUUCAGCGGGGAGGCGUUACCCGCAGAAGAAGCACCGGAGAACUCCGUGCCAGCAGCCGCGGUAAUUC